Molecule: ribosomal RNA, 253 nt
Filed under: uncultured bacterium
Lineage: Bacteria
Description: partial 16S ribosomal RNA
Rfam family: Bacterial small subunit ribosomal RNA
Source: RNAcentral
UACGUAGGGUGCAAGCGUUGUCCGGAAUUAUUGGGCGUAAAGGGCUCGUAGGCGGUCCAUCGCGUCGGGAGUGAAAAGCUGGGGCUUAACCCCAGUCCUGCUUCCGAUACGGGUGGACUAGAGGUAGGUAGGGGAGAACGGAAUUCCUGGUGUAGCGGUGAAAUGCGCAGAUAUCAGGAGGAACACCGGUGGCGAAGGCGCCACUCUGGGCCGAAACUGACGCUGAGGAGCGAAAGCGUGGGUAGCAAACAGG